Molecule: transfer RNA, 77 nt
Filed under: Candidatus Cloacimonadota bacterium
Lineage: Bacteria; Pseudomonadati; Candidatus Cloacimonadota
Description: Candidatus Cloacimonetes bacterium (marine metagenome) tRNA-Tyr
Rfam family: tRNA
About the family: Transfer RNA (tRNA) molecules are approximately 80 nucleotides in length. Their secondary structure includes four short double-helical elements and three loops (D, anti-codon, and T loops). Further hydrogen bonds mediate the characteristic L-shaped molecular structure. tRNAs have two regions of fundamental functional importance: the anti-codon, which is responsible for specific mRNA codon recognition, and the 3' end, to which the tRNAs corresponding amino acid is attached (by aminoacyl-tRNA synthetases). tRNAs cope with the degeneracy of the genetic code in two manners: having more than one tRNA (with a specific anti-codon) for a particular amino acid; and 'wobble' base-pairing, i.e. permitting non-standard base-pairing at the 3rd anti-codon position.
Source: RNAcentral
GGGGCUGUAGUUCAGUUGGUUAGAACAUCCCGAUGUAAUCGGGAAGGUCGCGAGUUCAAGUCUCGUCGCUCCCGCCA